This is a non-coding RNA of Paramisgurnus dabryanus, 315 nucleotides long. Lineage: Eukaryota; Metazoa; Chordata; Actinopteri; Cypriniformes; Cobitidae. The record is from RefSeq and is a predicted model, not a curated record.
UAAACACCACCAGCAGAUCAUCAGAUAACAACGCCUCUCCACUUUGUUUAUUUCUUAUUUGUGCAUUAAGAUUGACGCUCAUUACAGCACGAGGUUUGAUAUGGAGAUGAGUUUCAAAAUAUCUCUGAUGUUUUUGCUCAUGACUGCUGAUGUUGAUGGUCAGCAGGUUUGGGUGAAUUACAGCCCUUCAUAUGUUUGUGCAUUAAGAGACUCAACAGUGAGAUUAAAUUGUACUUUAACUCAAUCUGAUAGAUUUUGGGUCACAGCCACCUGGACCAAAUCAGCAUAUACACAUAACCUGUGCUCAGACACAAA